GCAGGGAUAUUAAUUGAUCUAUGGGGGUGCUUGGAUCGCAACCGAAAUCAAAAUAGAAAUAGACAUGAUUUGGAAUUGCAAUUGGAAUCGAAAUGAGAAUGGCCAGAUCCCCCGAAAUAUUUGGUUCGUGAUCUGAAUCAGAAUCGAAAUCGAAAUUGGAAUGAAAAUUUGAAUCUAUAGAAAAAAGUAGAGAUUGAGUUCUAUAUAGGUUGGACCAUUUCUAUUCCAUC
Molecule: long non-coding RNA, 230 nt
Filed under: Elaeis guineensis (African oil palm)
Lineage: Eukaryota; Viridiplantae; Streptophyta; Magnoliopsida; Arecales; Arecaceae
Description: long non-coding RNA (EGUI_LNC005907)
Source: RNAcentral